Molecule: transfer RNA, 76 nt
Filed under: Trichonephila inaurata madagascariensis
Lineage: Eukaryota; Metazoa; Arthropoda; Arachnida; Araneae; Nephilidae
Description: tRNA-Tyr
Rfam family: tRNA
About the family: Transfer RNA (tRNA) molecules are approximately 80 nucleotides in length. Their secondary structure includes four short double-helical elements and three loops (D, anti-codon, and T loops). Further hydrogen bonds mediate the characteristic L-shaped molecular structure. tRNAs have two regions of fundamental functional importance: the anti-codon, which is responsible for specific mRNA codon recognition, and the 3' end, to which the tRNAs corresponding amino acid is attached (by aminoacyl-tRNA synthetases). tRNAs cope with the degeneracy of the genetic code in two manners: having more than one tRNA (with a specific anti-codon) for a particular amino acid; and 'wobble' base-pairing, i.e. permitting non-standard base-pairing at the 3rd anti-codon position.
Source: RNAcentral
CCGUCGGUAGCAGCUCAGUUGGCAGAGCGGUGGACUGUAGAUCCAUAGGUCGCUGGUUCGAAUCCGGCUCGACGGA